Molecule: ribosomal RNA, 1911 nt
Filed under: Triticum aestivum (bread wheat)
Lineage: Eukaryota; Viridiplantae; Streptophyta; Magnoliopsida; Poales; Poaceae
Description: partial small subunit ribosomal RNA
Source: RNAcentral
AUGUGGCAUGGAGAGAGAAGCACAAGCACAGGUAACAUCACAGUUCCAAAAUUUGGUCUCUGCUGCAAGGAAGGGAAAGUUAAAUUACCACCACUGAAGCAAGCUCCGCUGUAUCUCCGACAGCUACUACGUUACAAUGAAAGAGGAGAAUCAUCAAAUUUCCGCCAGAACAUCAGGUUGUACACCUCGAUGUUCGCAUUCACUUCAAUGGGAGAAAAGGUUGACUAUGAAAUUAAUAAGCAGGCAUCUGGACCAUAUGUUUUCCGUUUGAAUGGCCAUAAUUACCAUCAGAUUGGCACUUUACUUCCUAAGGAUGAUGUGACGAAACCAAAAUUUGCCCAAUUGUACAUACAUGACACAGAAAAUGAAGUGCGGAAUAGGAUUAAUGCAUCUGCUUCAACGGAGAGUAAGACACAACCAGAUGAAAACAUUGUCAAAGGACUACUGGAGAUGCUUGAUGAGCACAAUGUUUUAGUCAAAUCAUUUCGUAUGGCAAGGGACAGAUUCCAAAACCGACGUAUUAAAGAUGUAAGACUAAGGUCGAAAGAUGGACGACAAUACAACCUACCAUCUGCCUCAGAAGUCGCAGCACUAAUUAUUGGGGAACAAGGUGGAGAAAAUAAUGAAUUUGAUAUAAUAGUUGAGACCAAAGACAGAAUGUUACAGAGGAUUUCAGAGUUGCACCCAAGCUAUAUGUCAAUGCAGUACCCCUUGCUUUUUCCAUAUGGAGAAGAUGGUUUCAGACCAGAAAUAGAGUAUGAAAAUAAAAGAGGCAGCAAAGGUAAAAGAAAGUAUGUAACAAUGCUGGAGUUUUAUGCGUAUCGCAUACAACAACGUCUGAACCAAGCUUCAACAUUGCAAAUGAGUGGACGUUUGUUCCUGCAGUUUUUAGUUGAUGCAGCAACGUGCAUUGAACAGUGGAGACUAAAUUGGUACAGGACAAACCAAGGUAAGUUGAGGACAGAACUGUACAGAGGACUGCAUGAUGCAAUAGAAAAUGGAGAUACACGAGCCGAACAAGUUGGACAAAGAAUCAUACUACCCUCAUCAUAUAAUGGCAGUCCAAGAAAUAAGCGGCAAAACUACCAAGAUGCCAUGGCGAUUUGUCCUUGGGCUGGCUAUCCUGAUCUCUUCAUUACUUCUACAUGCAAUCCAAAAUGGCUGGAAAUACAAGAUAUGUUGGAUCUGAUUCCAGGCCAGAAAUCUGAAGAUCGUCCAGAUAUCGUUGCCAGAGUAUUCAUGUUAAAACUGAAGGAACUUAUGAAUGACAUAAAGAACGGAAAGUGUUUUGGACAAACAAUUGCAAUUGUCUACACUAUAGAGUUCCAGAAAAGAGGCCCCCCGCAUGCACACAUACUGGUGUUUCUACACCCAGAUGAUAAAGAUCCAAGUCCUUCCCAGAUCGACAAAAUCAUAUCAGCCGAAAUUCCUGAUAAGAAUAGUGAUCCAGAAGGGUACGAAGCAGUGCAAAAUUACAUGAUACAUGGUCCAUGUGGUCAAGCACACCCAAAAUCACCAUGCAUGGUCGAUAAAAGUUGUGCCAAACAUUUCCCCAAGAAUUUUUGCACUGAGACUACCAUAGAUGAAGAUAACUAUCCAGUAUAUAGAAGGCGAGAUGAUGGCAACACUGUGGACAAGAAUGGAGUGAAGCUAGACAAUAGAUUUGUUGUGCCAUACAAUAGAAACCUACUGGUCAAGUAUCAAGCCCACAUAAAUGUUGAGUGGUGCAACAGAUCAAGGUCUAUAAAGUAUUUAUUCAAAUACAUCCAUAAAGGAGAAGAUCGAACAACCGUCUUGAUAGAAGCGGAAGACCAACAAAGUGAAACAAGAGCUAGCAAAUUAACAAACAAGGACGACGAAAUCAAGAGGUACCUUGAUGCCCGGUACAUAUCUGGAUGUGAAGCCGCAUGA